GACGAACGCUGGCGGCGUGCUUAACACAUGCAAGUCGAACGGAAAGGCCCUGCUUUUGUGGGGUGCUCGAGUGGCGAACGGGUGAGUAACACGUGAGUAACCUGCCCUUGACUUUGGGAUAACUUCAGGAAACUGGGGCUAAUACCGGAUAGGAGCUCCUGCUGCAUGGUGGGGGUUGGAAAGUUUCGGCGGUUGGGGAUGGACUCGCGGCUUAUCAGCUUGUUGGUGGGUAGUGGCUUACCAAGGCCUUGACGGGUAGCCGGCCUGAGAGGGUGACCGGCCACAUUGGGACAGAGAUACGGCCCAUAGUCCUACGGGAGGCAGCAGUGGGGAAUAUUGCACGAUGGGCGGAAGCCGGAUGCAGCAACGCCGCGUGCGAGAUGACGGCCUUCGGGUUGUAAACCGCUUUCGCCUGUGACGAAGCGUGAGUGACGGUAAUGGGUAAAGAAGCACCGGCUAACUACGUG
RNAcentral lists this ribosomal RNA (467 nucleotides) under uncultured bacterium. Its description in RNAcentral is "partial 16S ribosomal RNA". It matches the Rfam family "Bacterial small subunit ribosomal RNA", at positions 28 to 507 of the family's 1533-position model. The record is from RNAcentral.